RNAcentral lists this unclassified non-coding RNA (870 nucleotides) under Hevea brasiliensis (rubber tree). The record is from RNAcentral. Lineage: Eukaryota; Viridiplantae; Streptophyta; Magnoliopsida; Malpighiales; Euphorbiaceae.
AGAGAGAGAGAGAGAGAGAGGACCUUAUUCUGGUGCUUAUCCGAUCAAAUGUUAUCACAUUUUAAACUGUAUAAGUUCUUAAAUUUUCCCCUUGUCAAUUGAAUUUUGCAACCAAAAAGGUUCAAGCACGAGAAUUUGGUGAAAUAAAAUUCAGCCAAGUCAAGAUUCCCAUUUUAGUAGAAACAGAUGUCAAAGUAGUUUUUGUAGCAGAAGCCCAUGACCAGCGAAAUGCUAAGGAAAAUAGAUGAAAGAAAGAAUGUAGGACGCACUCAAGGAGAAGUUAACUUGGACCUGUUUCUAAACAUCAAUUAAUCUAGACUGCAAGAUGAUCUAUGAUUACGUUCAAUGUAUCAAUCCCUUGAACUAACUGCUUUUGAAAUUUUCUUCUUGGUUAAAAGUUUAAUUACUUUCAUUUAUGUAAGUGCUGGUGUUAUGGAAGGUGGAAUGUUAGUCAUGUACUUAGUAAAAUCUAAUAAUCUAUGCAAGUAAAACAUUUUGAUUUUUGAAGUAAUUUGGCAGUUUAAAGGAAAUCCAAAGGAUUUUUUUUUUUUUGGUGAAAUAAUGGCAAAUUUUGAAGAAUUUAAAAUUUAAUGUUUAUUAGAGAAUGCAUAAAUAGGUUAUGAUGCCUUUUAUGUGUUGAGUGGUACUGUUUAAUUUUUCAUUCAUUUGAGUUGGUUUUGAAUUUGUUUUAAUUUCAAUCUAAAUUUGUAUGAAAAAAUAUGGUUUGAUUUACAGUUAAAUGAUGGGACAUGGUUGAACGCAUACCUUUAGAUGUGUUAAUAUCUUGAGCAUACCAUUUUUCAGUUCAGUAUUGAGCCAUCAUUUCAGUGUAUAACUGUAACAUUUGCUGUGCUUCCAUAUUAUUAUAGG